AUACGGAGGGUGCAAGCGUUAUCCGGAAUCAUUGGGUUUAAAGGGUCCGUAGGCGGGCAAAUAAGUCAGAGGUGAAAUCCCACAGCUCAACUGUGGAACUGCCUUUGAUACUGUUUGUCUUGAGUUAUAGUGAAGUAGAUAGAAUAUGUAGUGUAGCGGUGAAAUGCAUAGAUAUUACAUAGAAUACCGAUUGCGAAGGCAGUCUACUAACUAUUGACUGACGCUAAUGGACGAAAGCGUGGGGAGCGAACAGGAUUAGAUACCCUAGUAGUCC
Molecule: ribosomal RNA, 274 nt
Filed under: uncultured bacterium
Lineage: Bacteria
Description: partial 16S ribosomal RNA
Rfam family: Bacterial small subunit ribosomal RNA
Source: RNAcentral